RNAcentral lists this ribosomal RNA (280 nucleotides) under uncultured prokaryote. Its description in RNAcentral is "partial 16S ribosomal RNA". It matches the Rfam family "Bacterial small subunit ribosomal RNA", at positions 524 to 803 of the family's 1533-position model. The record is from RNAcentral.
UACGUAGGGGCUAGCGUUAUCCGGAAUUACUGGGCGUAAAGGGUGCGUAGGUGGUUUCUUAAGUCAGAGGUGAAAGGCUACGGCUCAACCGUAGUAAGCCUUUGAAACUGGUCGACUUGAGUGCAGAAGAGGGAAGUGGAAUUCCAUGUGUAGCGGUGAAAUGCGUAGAGAUAUGGAGGAACACCAGUGGCGAAGGCGGCUUCCUGGUCUGUAACUGACACUGAGGCGCGAAAGCGUGGGGAGCAAACAGGAUUAGAUACCCCCGUAGUCCCUGAGCGGG